AGCACCACAACUAUUCGGCGAGGAUCUGAAAAGUACUUGAAGGAUGCUGCAUUCAACUAUGAAGUGCUCGGGGGCUUGUCAGGGAUAGAUCCCUAGUACCCACAAGGAAGAAGAUGGACUCCGACUAAGAUUCUCCUGUAAUCCUACUAGGACUCAUACCAUGUAAUCCUACUAGGACUCCUCCUUGUAACCGACUAGUUAUCCUGCCCCGUGAGUAUAUAAAGGAGGGUAGGGGUAGCUAGAUCGGCAGCUCAGAACCAUUAUCAAUAGCCAACAACCAGGCUACACAACAACCAAGCGCAGGGCGCAAUAUACAACACUCAAAACAGGACGUAGGGUAUUACACUACUCUUGCGGUCCGAACAUGUAUAAAUCCGUAUCUUGUGUCCUCGCUUUUACCUACAAGUUUCAGGUCCCACAAUCCCCCACCAAC
RNAcentral lists this long non-coding RNA (433 nucleotides) under Setaria viridis. RNAcentral's name for it is "long non-coding RNA (SVIR_LNC011042)". Lineage: Eukaryota; Viridiplantae; Streptophyta; Magnoliopsida; Poales; Poaceae. The record is from RNAcentral.